GACGAACGCUGGCGGCGUGCUUAACACAUGCAAGUCGAACGAUGAAGCUGGAGCUUGCUCCGGUGGAUUAGUGGCGAGCGGGUGAGUAACACGUGAGCAAUCUGCCCUUGACUCUGGGAUAACUGCGGGAAACUGUAGCUAAUACCGGAUACGAGGCUCGAAGGCAUCUUCGGGUCUGGAAAGAAUUUCGGUCAAGGAUGAGCUCGCGGCCUAUCAGCUUGUUGGUGAGGUAAUGGCUCACCAAGGCGACGACGGGUAGCCGGCCUGAGAGGGUGACCGGCCACACUGGGACUGAGACACGGCCCAGACUCCUACGGGAGGCAGCAGUGGGGAAUAUUGCACAAUGGGCGAAAGCCUGAUGCAGCAACGUCGCGUGAGGGAUGAAGGCCUUCGGGUUGUAAACCUCUUUUAGCAGGGAAGAAGCGAAAGUGACGGUACCUGCAGAAAAAGCACCGGCUAACUACGUGCCAGCCGCCGCAGUAA
This 483-nucleotide ribosomal RNA is filed under the name uncultured bacterium. Its description in RNAcentral is "partial 16S ribosomal RNA". It matches the Rfam family "Bacterial small subunit ribosomal RNA", at positions 28 to 523 of the family's 1533-position model. The record is from RNAcentral.